AAGGGAAGCGAGAUGGUGACAUGGAGCAAAUCCCAAAAAUAACGUCCCAGUUCGGAUUGCAGCCUGCAACUCGGCUGCAUGAAGCUGGAAUCGCUAGUAAUCGCGGAUCAGAAUGCCGCGGUGAAUACGUUCCCGGGUCUUGUACACACCGCCCGUCACACCAUGGGAGUAGGUAAUGCCCGAAGUCGGUGACCUAACCGGAAGGAAGGAGCCGCCGAAGGCAGGACUUAUAACUGGGGUGAAGUCGUAACAAGGUAUC
RNAcentral lists this ribosomal RNA (259 nucleotides) under uncultured bacterium. Its description in RNAcentral is "partial 16S ribosomal RNA". It matches the Rfam family "Bacterial small subunit ribosomal RNA", at positions 1242 to 1500 of the family's 1533-position model. The record is from RNAcentral.